UCCAUGAGACCUCCUAUGUUUGAGGGUAUCCACUAUAAGAGGUGGCGCGUGAGAGCAGUCUUAUGGUUUCAAACCAUGAGUUGCUAUGACGCCACGCUUGGCAAACCUGAAGGAGAGCUUGAUGCUCAACAAGCACAAGCUUUUCAGAAAAUGGAUACUCUGUUUAAGGCUGCUCUCUUGAGUGUUCUUGGAGAGAACAUAGUUGAUGCUUAUGCGUCAAUUGAUAAUGGAAAAGAUAUGUGGGAUGCACUCGAGGCCAAGUUUGGGGUCUCGGAUGCUGGCACUGAGCUGUACAUCAUGGAGCAAUUCUAUGAUUACAGGAUGACUGAAGAGCGCUCCGUGGUUGAGCAAGCUCAUGAGAUACAGUCGUUUGCUAGAGAACUUGAGCACUUCAAUUGUAUCCUACCGGACAAGUUUGUUGCCGGGGGUAUCAUCACUAAGCUUCCUCCUUCGUGGAGGAACUUUGCUACCUUGCUGAAGCAUAAGAGACAGGAGUUUUCCGUCCCGGAUCUCAUUGGCACUCUUGAUGUGGAAGAAAAGGCGAGAGCAAAGGACACAUGUGCUCGAGGUAUUGAGGGAGGAUCUAGUGCCAAUGUGGUACAGAAGCAGAACUUCCAGCCCCACAAGUUCAAGAACAAGGGCAAGUUUGAUGGUAAAGCAAAGUUUGAUGGGAAGAACAAGGCUAUGCAACACACGAACUUCAAGAAGAAGAAUGGCAAGAAGAAAGGUGCUUGUCAUGUGUGUGGAGAUCCUGAUCAUUGGGCUCCUAGUUGCCCCAAUCGAUAUGACAAGCGUCAUCCUGGGAAAGGCGGCAAGACCGCUAAUGUUGUUAUCGGAGACAUUGACAUGAAGGAUGCUGGGUAUGGUAUAUUUCCCACUAUUCUUUCAGUAUGUCAUUCUCCUGAUUGGUUAAUUGACACGGGUGCUAAUGUGCAUGUAUGCGGUGAUAUUACCAUGUUUUCG
Molecule: ribosomal RNA, 963 nt
Filed under: Triticum aestivum (bread wheat)
Lineage: Eukaryota; Viridiplantae; Streptophyta; Magnoliopsida; Poales; Poaceae
Description: partial small subunit ribosomal RNA
Source: RNAcentral